Molecule: ribosomal RNA, 289 nt
Filed under: uncultured bacterium
Lineage: Bacteria
Description: partial 16S ribosomal RNA
Rfam family: Bacterial small subunit ribosomal RNA
Source: RNAcentral
GAUGAACGCUAGCGGCAGGCCUAAUACAUGCAAGCUGAACGGCAAGAUUUGUAGCAAUACGAGUCCUAGAGUAGCGUAAGGGUGCGUAACACGUAUGCAAUCUGCCCGCAACAGGAGGAUAGCUUAGCGAAAGUUGAGAUAAGACUCCAUAAGAUCACGAGAGGGCAUCUGAUUGUGAUUAAACUACGAAGGGGUUGCGGAUGAGCANGCGUCUGAUUAGUUAGUUGGCGGGGUAACGGCCCACCAAGACGAUGAUCAGUAGGGGAACUGAGAGGUUCGGUCCCCACCA